AAACGAUCCAGACAGCCUUUACUCUGCUGGACCAGGAGUUCCAAAAACUGGUUCGAGAAAAGUCAGAGGUUUCUCAAGCUGUUACUGCUCUGCAAAGAGAGAAAGAAGCUCAUGAAGCCUAUAGACAACAACAGCAACAGGAGCUGCAGGAGAUGCUGGACAGACAUCGCUCUCAAAAUGAGGCGUGGCUGCGAGCGAGAGCCGAGGAGAACGACCAAGAGAGG
Long non-coding RNA from Perca flavescens (yellow perch), 224 nucleotides. RefSeq lists it as uncharacterized. The record is from RefSeq and is a predicted model, not a curated record. The transcript is spliced from 3 exons. NCBI's taxonomy places the organism in Eukaryota, Metazoa, Chordata, Actinopteri, Perciformes, Percidae.